RNAcentral lists this ribosomal RNA (503 nucleotides) under Curvularia sp. DAOM 20022. RNAcentral describes it as "eukaryotic LSU rRNA". The stretch from base 123 to 276 matches the Rfam family "5.8S ribosomal RNA". Lineage: Eukaryota; Fungi; Ascomycota; Dothideomycetes; Pleosporales; Pleosporaceae. The record is from RNAcentral.
UACCCUUGUCUUUUGCGCACUUGUUGUUUCCUGGGCGGGUUCGCCCGCCACCAGGACCACACCAUAAACCUUUUUUUAUGCAGUUGCAAUCAGCGUCAGUACAACAAAUGUAAAUCAUUUACAACUUUCAACAACGGAUCUCUUGGUUCUGGCAUCGAUGAAGAACGCAGCGAAAUGCGAUACGUAGUGUGAAUUGCAGAAUUCAGUGAAUCAUCGAAUCUUUGAACGCACAUUGCGCCCUUUGGUAUUCCAAAGGGCAUGCCUGUUCGAGCGUCAUUUGUACCCUCAAGCUUUGCUUGGUGUUGGGCGUUUUUUGUCUUUGGUUGCCAAAGACUCGCCUUAAAACGAUUGGCAGCCGGCCUCCUGGUUUCGCAGCGCAGCACAUUUUUGCGCUUGCAAUCAGCAACAGAGGGCGGCACUCCAUCAAGACUCCAUUUUCACGUUUGACCUCGGAUCAGGUAGGGAUACCCGCUGAACUUAAGCAUAUCAAACCGGGAAGAAAC